AAGUCGUAACAAGGUUUCCGUAGGUGAACCUGCGGAAGGAUCAUUAGUGAAUUAUAGGGUACCCUUGCUUUCAUUAGCAGAGGGCCUGACCUCCACUCUCUCACACUUGUGCACCUAAACAAUGUCGUUGGUUGGCGCGAACAGGGACUUCGGUACCCAAGUAGUGACUUCUGACUUCAUUACCUUUAAUUCAUAACUCUAAAAGUAACAGAAUGUAACCAAACCAUAACAAAUAAAA
Molecule: unclassified non-coding RNA, 238 nt
Filed under: plant metagenome
Description: partial contains small subunit ribosomal RNA and internal transcribed spacer 1
Rfam family: Eukaryotic small subunit ribosomal RNA (bases 1-46)
Source: RNAcentral